RNAcentral lists this ribosomal RNA (254 nucleotides) under uncultured bacterium. Its description in RNAcentral is "partial 16S ribosomal RNA". It matches the Rfam family "Bacterial small subunit ribosomal RNA", at positions 524 to 776 of the family's 1533-position model. The record is from RNAcentral.
UACGUAGGUGACAAGCGUUGUCCGGAUUUACUGGGCGUAAAGAGCGCGCAGGCGGUCGAUCAAGUCGCGUGUGAAAGCCCCCGGCUCAACUGGGGAGGGUCACGCGAUACUGAUCGACUCGAAGGCAGGAGAGGGUAGUGGAAUUCCCGGUGUAGUGGUGAAAUGCGUAGAUAUCGGGAGGAACACCAGUGGCGAAGGCGACUACCUGGCCUGUUUCUUGACGCUGAGGCGCGAAAGCUAGGGGAGCAAACGGG